ACCGCGACCCCAGGUCAGGCGGGACUACCCGCUGAGUUUAAGCAU
RNAcentral lists this ribosomal RNA (45 nucleotides) under Iris mandshurica. RNAcentral describes it as "partial 28S ribosomal RNA". The record is from RNAcentral. Lineage: Eukaryota; Viridiplantae; Streptophyta; Magnoliopsida; Asparagales; Iridaceae.